Molecule: ribosomal RNA, 450 nt
Filed under: Pseudomonas aeruginosa
Lineage: Bacteria; Pseudomonadati; Pseudomonadota; Gammaproteobacteria; Pseudomonadales; Pseudomonadaceae
Description: bacterial SSU rRNA
Rfam family: Bacterial small subunit ribosomal RNA
Source: RNAcentral
AGAUGAACGCUGGCGGCAGGCCUAACACAUGCAAGUCGAGCGGAUGAAGGGAGCUUGCUCCUGGAUUCAGCGGCGGACGGGUGAGUAAUGCCUAGGAAUCUGCCUGGUAGUGGGGGAUAACGUCCGGAAACGGGCGCUAAUACCGCAUACGUCCUGAGGGAGAAAGUGGGGGAUCUUCGGACCUCACGCUAUCAGAUGAGCCUAGGUCGGAUUAGCUAGUUGGUGGGGUAAAGGCCUACCAAGGCGACGAUCCGUAACUGGUCUGAGAGGAUGAUCAGUCACACUGGAACUGAGACACGGUCCAGACUCCUACGGGAGGCAGCAGUGGGGAAUAUUGGACAAUGGGCGAAAGCCUGAUCCAGCCAUGCCGCGUGUGUGAAGAAGGUCUUCGGAUUGUAAAGCACUUUAAGUUGGGAGGAAGGGCAGUAAGUUAAUACCUUGCUGUUUGAC